UACGGGGGGUGCAAGCGUUGUUCGGAAUUACUGGGCGUAAAGCGCACGUAGGCGGAUCGAUCAGUUAGGGGUGAAAUCCCGGGGCUCAACCCCGGAACUGCCUCUAAUACUGUCGAUCUCGAGUUCGAGAGAGGUGAGUGGAAUUCCGAGUGUAGAGGUGAAAUUCGUAGAUAUUCGGAGGAACACCAGUGGCGAAGGCGGCUCACUGGCUCGAUACUGACGCUGAGGUGCGAAAGCGUGGGGAGCAAACAGG
Molecule: ribosomal RNA, 253 nt
Filed under: uncultured bacterium
Lineage: Bacteria
Description: partial 16S ribosomal RNA
Rfam family: Bacterial small subunit ribosomal RNA
Source: RNAcentral